UACAGGGGUCCCGAGCGUUGUUCGGAUUCAUUGGGCGUAAAGGGUGCGUAGGCGGUCUGCUAAGUUUGAUGUGAAAUCCCGGGGCUCAACCCUGGAAUGGCAUUGAAUACUGGCGGACUAGAGUACCGGAGAGGAAACUGGAAUUUACGGUGUAGCAGUGAAAUGCGUAGAGAUCGUAAGGAAGACCUGUGGCGAAGGCGAGUUUCUGGACGGUAACUGACGCUGAGGCACGAAGGCCAGGGGAGCAAACGGG
This 253-nucleotide ribosomal RNA is filed under the name uncultured bacterium. Its description in RNAcentral is "partial 16S ribosomal RNA". It matches the Rfam family "Bacterial small subunit ribosomal RNA", at positions 524 to 776 of the family's 1533-position model. The record is from RNAcentral.